GGGGACUGGGCAGGGCCUGAGCGGGUUCUGUGCCUGGCUGCCCACCGGCUCUCUGACCUGGACCUCGCCGUCGCUGGCCCCUGAAAUCCAUCACUUUAGUCGGCUAUUCUGUGACGCCACAACGAGGCGUACCCAGGUACCCAGUACCUGGGUACUGGGCCCUCAAGAGGAAGGACGCGGGAAACGCGUCCGGGCCAACUCUCGAGAGGGUUUCACCCCUGCCCAGUGCGGGCACUGCCCGCUCCCUUCCGCCCCCAGGCCUCGCAGGCCCCUCCGGGGGUGCUGCCCACCCCCACUUACCUUUCUAGGCUCUGCUGACCCUUCGGGAUUCGCGGCUAGCUGUGAUGUGUCCGCCAAGAUCUCUUCUCUUGUCUGUAAACAACUUCACUCUCGAGGCAGCUCUGGCCUCUCAGCAGGAGCUGGGGAGGAGUGACUGAAUAACUAUAGGAUUCGGUCUUGAUGGGAGAAUCCCAGAAGCCAAAUCCACGCGGUGAAUAAGCUGCUGAUCUUCCAGAGCACACAUCCCCUAGAGAUUCUUCCCAAUGCUAAUAUGAAAGGUUACAACCAUAACCCAUCAUCAGGCCCAAAUAUAUUACUUACUGAAUAAAUACACAAGUUACAACAACACACAA
This is a long non-coding RNA of Gorilla gorilla gorilla (western lowland gorilla), 632 nucleotides long. RefSeq lists it as uncharacterized. The record is from RefSeq and is a predicted model, not a curated record. The transcript is spliced from 2 exons. NCBI's taxonomy places the organism in Eukaryota, Metazoa, Chordata, Mammalia, Primates, Hominidae.